Molecule: long non-coding RNA, 1037 nt
Filed under: Equus asinus (donkey)
Lineage: Eukaryota; Metazoa; Chordata; Mammalia; Perissodactyla; Equidae
Description: lncRNA (ENSEASG00005036032.1)
Source: RNAcentral
GUUAGGUCCAGUUGGUUAUGAGAAGAAUGUUAUUCUGCUGGUGGAUGGAAUGGUCUGUGUAUGCCUGUUAGGUCCAGUUGGUUAUGAGAAGAACGUUAUUCUGCUGUUGGGUGGAAUGGUCUGUGUAUGCCUGUCAGGACCAGAUGGUUAAGGGACAAUUCAAGUGCAGUGUUUCCUUAUUGAUCUAUCCAUUGUGGGAAGUAGGGAUAAAAGUCUCCUACUAUUAUUGUACUGUCGUGCAUUUCUCCCUUUGGGUUUCUUAGUGUUUGCUUAAUUUAUUUAGGUGAUCUGAUGUUGGGCUCAUAUAUACUCACAGUUGUUAUAUCCUUUUGAUGAAUUGACCCCUUUAUCAUUAUAUAAUGACCUUCUUUGUCUCUUGUUACAACUUCUUACCUGGUCUAUUUUUUCUGUAAUGCUACCCCUGCUCUAUUUGGUUCCAUUUGUGUGGAAUGUCUUUUUCCAUCCCUUCACUUUGAGCCUAGGUGUGUCCUCAAAGCCAAAGUGAGUCUCUUGUGGGCAGCAUACAGUUAGGUCUUGUUUUUGAAUCCAUUAAGCCACUUGAUGCCUUUUGAUUGGAGAAUUUAGUCCAUUUACAUUUAAAGUAAUUAUUGCUAGGAACUGACGAAUGCGAUCUUGUUCACUGUUUUCUGCUCUUCUUGUUACUUUCUUCUUCUUUGAUUGUCUUUCUUUGUGAAUUGAUUAUUUUCCAUAGUGGUAUGCUUUAAUUCCCUUCUCAAUAGCUUUUCUGUAUUUAGUGUAGGUUUUUAUUUUGUGGUUAAUCUGAGGCUUCCAUAAAACACAUUAUAGAUAUAACAGUCUAUUUUAAGCUGAGCAGCUUAACUCAAUCACACACAAAAUCUCUACCCUUUCACUCCCUCUUCAUAUUUUAUGUUUUUGAUAUCACAAUUUACCUUUUUAUAUUGUGAAUCCAUUCAAAAAUUAUUGUAGCUAUAGUUAUUCUUAAUACUUUUGUUCUUUAAACGUUUAUACCAGAGUUAAGUGAUUAACAUAACACCAACUUACAGUAUUAGCAUAUG